RNAcentral lists this ribosomal RNA (440 nucleotides) under uncultured bacterium. RNAcentral's name for it is "partial 16S ribosomal RNA". It matches the Rfam family "Bacterial small subunit ribosomal RNA", at positions 338 to 795 of the family's 1533-position model. The record is from RNAcentral.
CCUACGGGAGGCUGCAGUGGGGAAUAUUGGACAAUGGGGGGAACCCUGAACCAGCGACGCCGCGUGAGUGAAGAAGUAUUUCGGUAUGUAAAGCUCUAUCAGCAGGGAAGAAAAUGACGGUACCUGACUAAGAAGCCACGGCUAACUACGUACCAGCAGCCGCGGGAACACGUAGGGGGCAAGCGUUAUCCGGAUUUACUGGGUGUAAAGGGCGCGUAGACGGUGCAGCAAGUCUGAUGUGAAAGGUCGGGGGCCAACCCCGGGACUGCAGUGGAAACUGGUGAACUGGAGUGCAGGAGAGGUAAGCGGAAUGCGUGGUGUAGCGGUGAAAUGCGUAGAUAUUACGAAGAACACCAGUGGCGAAGGCGGCUUACUGGAGUGUAACUGACGUUGAGGCUCGAAAGCGUGGGGAGCGAACAGGAUUAGAUACCCCUGUAGUC